RNAcentral lists this transfer RNA (71 nucleotides) under Abramis brama (common bream). RNAcentral describes it as "tRNA-Pro". It matches the Rfam family "tRNA". Rfam says of the family: Transfer RNA (tRNA) molecules are approximately 80 nucleotides in length. Their secondary structure includes four short double-helical elements and three loops (D, anti-codon, and T loops). Further hydrogen bonds mediate the characteristic L-shaped molecular structure. tRNAs have two regions of fundamental functional importance: the anti-codon, which is responsible for specific mRNA codon recognition, and the 3' end, to which the tRNAs corresponding amino acid is attached (by aminoacyl-tRNA synthetases). tRNAs cope with the degeneracy of the genetic code in two manners: having more than one tRNA (with a specific anti-codon) for a particular amino acid; and 'wobble' base-pairing, i.e. permitting non-standard base-pairing at the 3rd anti-codon position. Lineage: Eukaryota; Metazoa; Chordata; Actinopteri; Cypriniformes; Leuciscidae. The record is from RNAcentral.
CAGAAGAUAGUUUAAUUUAGAAUUCUGGCUUUGGGAGCCAGGGGUGGGAGUUAAAAUCUCCUUUUUCUGGG